RNAcentral lists this long non-coding RNA (397 nucleotides) under Citrus x clementina. RNAcentral's name for it is "Citrus clementina (C. clementina) long non-coding RNA (CCLE_LNC003635)". The record is from RNAcentral. Lineage: Eukaryota; Viridiplantae; Streptophyta; Magnoliopsida; Sapindales; Rutaceae.
AUAUUGUCUUUGCACGGUCAACUAACGGUCAAUGUUAAACUUAACUGACGGUAGAAAAUUUUUUACAAAUAAAUCAAUUCUCGCCAUCUACUUGCAACAAACUCAAACCUCAGGGGAGGUUUUUAAAAAUUACCCUAAAUUAUAAUCUAUUUGCCGUUGUGGUCGGAGAGAAGUACCACAUUUUUCAUUUUCUUUACAGAUGCCGUAACGAGAUCUAUGAACCACACAUGAUGAGGCAGCACUUAUUACCUUUCAAUAACAAUUGUAAAGAGCCACUCGGGGCAAAUGCUUUGUGUCAGACAAUUGUUGGACCCGUAUAAAACUAUUAAUGGUUUCCGUACUUUUUUAAUUAUUCAAUAUUUGAGUGAAAAUAAUUUUUAAAAUUUAAUAUAAAUUA